Molecule: long non-coding RNA, 1335 nt
Filed under: Homo sapiens (human)
Lineage: Eukaryota; Metazoa; Chordata; Mammalia; Primates; Hominidae
Description: non-protein coding lnc-PPIL4-9:1
Source: RNAcentral
CCUCAAACUCCUGGAUUCAAGUGAUCCCCCUGCCUCAGCCUCCUGAGUAACUGGGACUGUAAACAUGACAGCCGCACUUCACAGUUACACUGGGGCUGGAUGAGUCAGGACUUUUGCUCUCAAAUCUACAGGUGGGUUAGGAGAAAACUGACAUGAGCUCAGUCAGAGUUUAUUGCCACCUUCCUGGUGCCGUUUCUUCUAGCCAGCUACUGCUCUGGGUUUGAGGAGAAAGGGCCUACUCAUUUGCAAUGGCUAAGAAGUGAGAUGGUGCUGCCAGAGUGCCGACCCCCGAAUCCUCAGGGGCCCUGGCCUCUCCUGGCAGCAUCCACCCAUUCUGGUUACCAUGCCAGCCCUCCAGACUAUGGCUCAUUUGUUCACUAGAGGGCUUGGUAGCUUGGCAGUUUGGGGAAAGCGGGAGGCACUUCCCAGGGGAAGACCAGAGAAGACCAGCCCCCAGCCCCACAAACUUCCUGCAGCCUGCUGGUGCAGAGGGAACUCUUGCCAGUUUACUACCAGAUUUCAUGAGAUGUUGGCAGGCCUGGGGGGCACCUCAGGGAGAGUGCGUUCCCAGCCCUUUCAUUCAUGGUAAAUGACACCCCUGGGGCAUACAGUGAUGUUAGGUUUUUCUCUGAAACUUCUUUGAUCUUUUAAAACCAGAUUCUUAGCAUGGAUUGAGCCAGAUCUGUUCCUUACCCCCUUUUUCCAAAGAGGACGGUGCACCCACAAUUUUACCAUAACAUAUUGGGAUCUCAGGCCUGAAGAUGACCCAUUCUUUGUAAAUAAGUUGGAUUUUCCUCAUAAUAUGUGUGGGUUUUUUUGGUGGGGGAGGAGGGGGCAGGGUUCCGCUCUGUCAUCUGUCACCCAGGCUGGAGUGCAGUAGUGCAAUCAGGGCUCACUGCAGCUUUGACUUCCCAGGCUCAAGCAAUCCUUGUGCCUCAGCCUCCUGAUGCUGGGAUUAUAGGCGUGAGCCACCGCGCCUGGCCCCGGGCCUUUAUUUUUAUUUUUAACCUUUUGACAAGACACGCUUUCUAUUAGAGCUGCUUUUUGUCUCCCUGGUUCGAUUUCCUGAUGUAGAAUCAUUGUGUUGCUGAUUUUUCAGUUGAAAAUGUUUAAACUGCUUCCUUUGAGAACAAGUUUGAGUUUUAGUAAGCUGUAAAGCUGUUUUAUUUGAUUCACUGUGAAUAAGACAAGUACAAAAAAAAAAGUGAAAACACAGCACAUUUCAAGUGUAAUCCCCUUUGGAAUUUUUCCAAAGUCUUAGUAUAUGUCUUUGUGACAGAAAAACAUAGAUGGGACAGGUAAAUGAAAUGUUCCUAGUUGCAUAGCUGUUAACCA